This 406-nucleotide ribosomal RNA is filed under the name uncultured bacterium. RNAcentral describes it as "partial 16S ribosomal RNA". It matches the Rfam family "Bacterial small subunit ribosomal RNA", at positions 30 to 526 of the family's 1533-position model. The record is from RNAcentral.
AUUGAACGCUGGCGGCAGGCCUAACACAUGCAAGUCGAACGAGUGGCGGACGGGUGAGUAAUGUCUGGGAAACUGCCCGAUGGAGGGGGAUAACUACUGGAAACGGUAGCUAAUACCGCAUACCCUCGGAUGUGCCCAGAUGGGAUUGGCUUGUAGGUGAGGUAACGGCUCACCUAGGCGACGAUCCCUAGCUGGUCUGAGAGGAUGACCAGACAGACUGGAACUGAGAAACGUUCCAGACUCCUACGAGGGGCAGCAGUGGGGUAUAUUGCACAAUGUGCGCAAGCCUGAUGCAGCCAUGCCGCGGGUAUGAAGAAGGCCUUCGUGGUGUAAAGUACUUUCAGCGGGGAGUCGUUACCAGCAGAAGAAGCACCGGCGAACUCCGUGCCAGCAGCCGCGGUAAUUC